This 4069-nucleotide long non-coding RNA is filed under the name Capsella rubella. RNAcentral describes it as "long non-coding RNA (CRUB_LNC002922)". Lineage: Eukaryota; Viridiplantae; Streptophyta; Magnoliopsida; Brassicales; Brassicaceae. The record is from RNAcentral.
UGUUUUUGGUGAUGCACAAUGCUAAAGGUGAGAUAUAUGUAUAUAGAGAUUGGUUUACUCUAGUUUGUCCCCAAAAAAAAAAAAAGAGAUUGGUUUACUUGGUUAAUAUGAGAAGAUUUAGUGAUGAAAAAAGCUUGUUAUAUUUUUUUUAAUCCAUCAUCUAAUUAUCUUUUUUUGUGGUUGAUGAUAUAAAAUAGUGGAGGCAGAAGAACACGCACCUUUACUUGUUGAAUUCAUUCCGGACACACCAUGUAAUCCUAAUCCUGCUAAGGCUGCUCAACAAUGCCUAAGGGAAACUCAUGAUAAAUACUAUACUCAUUGCAAAUGUAAAAAUCAAGCAGGUGGACAUGAUUGUUCAUGUUUACACUGAUAAUUUUACUUUAUAUGAUUUACCAAAUGUCCAAAACUAAAAUUUUAAUUAAUAAAAUUUAUCUUUUAAUCUGUGUUUGUGGGUAUGUUUUUUUCUUUUUUAUUUACGCAUAUAUAUAAUAAAGCCAUCGAGAAUGAGGCAUACUUGGAUAUGUGGUUUGCAGACUUGUAGUAUAGUCUUUGUUCCAAGAAUUACCAAUACGUGGAUGCUUUGAUUUGUUCUCCAAAUUAGCCGCUUCACAUUUAUUGUUUAAAUUAAAGCUUUAGGACUGUGAUGAGAUUCAUAUUUUUAAUUUUGAUCAUUUCCAGACUCACAUAUGAUCAGAAAAUAUCACAGAAAUUAUGCAUAUUUUGAAUUUUGAUACAUACAUAUGAACAUACUGUAUAUUAUUUAAACUUUUGAGUUUGUUAUUGAGGAUAUUUUCCUAUUAGUGAAGAUAAUUAACAUUAUCGUUUUAAUAAGAGAGAUUUAGUACUUAGCAUAUUUAUAUAUACAUUCGUAGAGGUCAAACCCUAAGACUUUGAAUGGUAGCAGUUUUUAGAUUAGUUUUUGAUUUUUGAUUCUAAAAGACCAAAAAAAUUGACAUUCACAAUUCUACCAAUUCAUUGAUAGAAUCUAAAAACUAUUUUUUCAGCUUUCUAACAAUAUUACGCGACUUUUCUUAUUGAUUAUUAAUUUUUAUUUUUUUCAAAUAAAACCAAAAACUAAACAAAUUACUAUUCAAGAUUUUUCAAAAACUAAAAGCUACAAUAAAAAUCAAAAACUAAAAACCAAAAACCAAAAGCCAAAAACCAAAAACCAAAAGCUAAAACCCAUUUAUGAACUACAAAACAUUCAUGGCCUAAGGGUGGAUUAAAAAAGAACGUGCAUUCAACAACUACACAACUUGAUAGAUUAUGUCGAGAUUAAUGGCUAAAAGAGCCAUUAUAUUAACUUGAGGGGACGUGUGGAAAAAAAUCUCAUAUGGAAAGAUGUAAUAGAACUUAAGUAAUAUAUAAAAGCUUAGGGUCAAUCCACUCAUUCCGGUUCUCCAUCUUCCAAUACAACUCUUUUCGCAAAUUGCAAGCAAAAUGGCUCUAUGGUGAAUGAAUAUACUUUGGUAGCCUGACAAAGCUGUGGGAUGGAAUUGUAGCUGGAAAUGAAGCAGCUUCGUGUCUUAAAGUUGUAGGCUGUCCCGAAUGGUGGGGAGAUUGACCACGCACCCGCAGCUCCCAGGCAUUCUCUCAAGGACAUGGUCGUGGCCAGCCACCACGCGCUAAUAUAUGUCACCCAAAUCGUCACUGCCAACUCUGUUGCCGUUGGUUCUUCUUCCAAAAUAACAGAUUGUAAAUUUUAAAACGAUGGUCUCACAGCUUAUUUUAGCUAAUGUAGAAAAAGUACCAAAAAAAAAAAAUCAAUGAAUAUUAACUAAGUGAGUUUUGUUUCCAAAAAAAAGUCCUAUAACACUACAUAAAAAUAAAAUAAUGUCCAGCCUAGUGUUUUUUUUUUUCAAUGUUACUUUUUUUUUUGGCUAAAGAAAAAUGCCUUAUUUUUUAUACAUGACAUACUGCUUUAAAUUUAGCAAUACCGUAAGAGUCUUUUUUUUUUUUUUUUUUUUUUUUUUUUUUUUUUGUAAAAGCGGAUUACUUGGCACGCAAAUCUCGUUCCAGUCCGCAUUUGAUUAAGUUUGUAAACAAUUGUCCGUCAAGUUGGCUCAUUUGAGUUAGCUUUUUAUUUGAUGACAAAAAAAAAGUAAGAGUUCUUUUUUUUUUUAAUACUCCCUUCGUUCUUUUUAGAUCAUUUUUUGGACUAAUGCACAUUAUUUAAGAAAUUAUUUAAGUUUUGUUUAUAUUUAAACAAUUUUUUUAAAAUAUAUAUAUAUCUAAAUACAAUUUAACUAAUGAGAAAAAAAUAUGCAUAAUAUAAAUGGUUAAACUAAGUUAAGCUGCUUUCAUUGGUGUUUGAAGAGUCUUAAAGACUUACAUAUUACUUCUUGUGAAAUGUGGUCGGAUUGUAAAGCAGAUGUAUCUGCGGUUGAGUCUUAUUUGUUGUGGCCUAAGUAUCGGGUUCAACUAGAUAGGAUUUCCGAGCUUUUACAUUCCAUUGGAGAGGUGAAGUUUAAGUUGUCACAUUUGAAGGCUAACUCUUUGGUUACAGACAUUGCGAAGAGUGUGACGAGAGAUGGAUGCCUCAACAAAAGGUUUAUAUUGAAAUACUCUUCGGCGUGGGACUUAAAAAUCACCAGAAGGUUUAUAUUAUAGUUUAACAACAUUUUGCAAAUAUUCAAUCAACAAAAGUACUACAGGUUUAUACGAAGAUUUAGCAACAUUUUGAUCUCCUAAAUUUUAUAUUUUUACCCCAUUAAAAAAAAAUAUUUUGAACACCUCUAAAAUCUAGUUAUGGCUCCGCUACUGUCGUAAGUUUAUGACAUUUUUCUCAUUUUUUCUGGUUUUAAGAUUACCAGAAUUUAGAAUUAGACCCACACUGAAAAAACAUUCCGUGUUCAGAUCGCAAAUUAAUCAGUCAAAGCGAUCAUACCUUUUCAAAAAUUAAAAAAUCUAAAUUUCUAAACACUUGAAAUAUGAAAAAGUAAACACUAUCUCAAAUAAAAUAAAAUUUUUUAAAAUAAAUACAAAUAUAAUUUAUUUAGUAAUUUUCUAAAAAAUGUCAUAUGUGUGAUAGCACGGAUAUCUCCUAGUAAUAAUUGAAUGCAUUAAGAAUCUUAGAUUUUUUUUUAGUUGAAUAACAGAAAACCCUUAUUGACUUUAUCAAUCUUAGAUUUGUAAAUGACUUUUACAAAUCACAAACUAAUAACAUCAAACUUUGAUUUAAUUAACAAAAUCUUGAUUGAAUAACAACAUAUUCUACAUAACAUAAAGUCAUAUCAUAAACCAAUAACAACCCCUAAAUUUAGUUGGUUGAAGUUUUUUACAUUGUCAAAAUCUAAGUGGUUAGACUUGACACUUGUUGUGAUUACGUGAGUUAGUAUGUUUGAAGUCCAACCUUUUUAGAUAAUUUUCGUACCUUAAUGUGCAUAUCUUAUUCUAGUUAUUAUCUUAAUAAAAUAUUUUGGUUUUGAUUCUCAAAUGGGAAAUUAAGAAUUUUGGUCAAAUACAAAUGUAUUGGCUUUUUGUUUUAGUAAACUUUGAAUAUGUUAAAUUUGAAUAAGUUUAUCUCAAUAUUUUGUUUUGUUUGACUCUUGAAUGGGCAAUUAAUUAUUUUAUUUGAAUAAGAACAAAAUAUAUCUUAGAGUGUGGUGUAUGUGUAUAUAUAUAAGAAAUGUUGAUUAGAAAUUAUUCAGUAGGAGAUAAAAAAACAAAAAAAUCAGAAAAAUAUAGUAAAUCAGUUGUUAAUUUCUACAUCAUGAAAUCUGCUACUUUGCUUGUGGUUUCUUGUGUACUCAUGUUUUUGGUGAUGCAUAAUGCUAAAGGUGAGAUAUAUAUUGGUUACUUGGUUAAUAUGAAAAAAGUUUUUUGAUCCAUCAUCUAAUUAAUAUUUUUUUGUGGUUGAUGAUAUAAAAUAGUGGAGGCAGAAGAACACGCACCUUUACUUGUUGAAUUCAUUCCGGACACACCAUGUAAUCCUAAUCCUGCUAAGGCUGCUCAACAAUGCCUAAGGGAAACUCAUGAUAAAUACUAUACUCAUUGCAAAUGUAAAAAUCAAGCAGGUGGACAUGAUUGUUCAUGUUUACAUUGAUAAUUUCCCUUUAUAUGAUUUACC